This 633-nucleotide small RNA is filed under the name Vigna angularis var. angularis. RNAcentral describes it as "Non-protein coding transcript". The record is from RNAcentral. Lineage: Eukaryota; Viridiplantae; Streptophyta; Magnoliopsida; Fabales; Fabaceae.
CUUUCAUUUAAAAUAAUUUAUUAUCAAGCUUGAAAUCUGAAGCAAAAUACAAACACAAAGUACAUUAUUCAGUUGUUCUGAUGGAGGUGUAAUAAAAACGACAAGUGUUGUUUAAAACAGGAAGGAAAAAAGUGGUGUUAAGGAGUGGGUGUGGUUUCUUGAGCUUUGGAAAGUUUGAUGUGGAUGAGUUCCUGAAUGAGUUCGUUCAAGUUGUUGUGAGAAGAGCCACCAUUCUCUAUAGCUCUCUUAGCAGCAUCGCUCAGCGUCUUCCCUCUUCCCCUCAUAUCCUCGCCCUUCUCGCUCAUCAUCACACCAAUGGCGUUUCCAAUGUCUUCUGCUUUCACAACAUCGCUACCAAAAUCGUUCCAGUUUCUCCACUCUUUUGCCCCCACUGACACCCCGAUUUUCAGCACAUCCACCACCAGCUUCUCAUUGAAAAAAUGUUCCGCAAACAGAGGCCACGUCACCAUCGGCAACCCCGCAUUCACGCUUUCCACCACCGUGUUCCAACCACAGUGAGUAACCAAUCCUCCGAUCGCAGGAUUCUCUAGUAUCAGCAACUGCGGCGCCCAACCCCAUAUCAGAUACCCUUUCUUGCUUUCCUCCAUUCUCUUCUCAAACUCUUCCAAAAAU